Molecule: ribosomal RNA, 88 nt
Filed under: Paenibacillus sambharensis
Lineage: Bacteria; Bacillati; Bacillota; Bacilli; Caryophanales; Paenibacillaceae
Description: Paenibacillus sp. SMB1 partial 23S ribosomal RNA
Rfam family: Bacterial large subunit ribosomal RNA
Source: RNAcentral
AGGUUAAGCUACUAAGAGCGCACGGAGGAUGCCUAGGCACUAGGAGCCGAAGAAGGACGUGGCGAACGACGAAAUGCCUCGGGGAGCC